UACAGCAAGAACAGUAUGCGCUUAAAAGGA
This 30-nucleotide non-coding RNA is filed under the name Homo sapiens (human). Lineage: Eukaryota; Metazoa; Chordata; Mammalia; Primates; Hominidae. The record is from RNAcentral.